UCCUACGGGAGGCAGCAGUGGGGAAUAUUGGACAAUGGGGGCAACCCUGAUCCAGCCAUGCCGCGUGUGUGAAGAAGGCCCUCGGGUUGUAAAGCACUUUCAGCGAGGAAGAACGCCUAGCGGUUAAUACCCGCUAGGAAAGACAUCACUCGCAGAAGAAGCACCGGCUAACUCCGUGCCAGCAGCCGCGGUAAUACGGAGGGUGCAAGCGUUAAUCGGAAUUACUGGGCGUAAAGCGCGCGCAGGUGGCUUGAUAAGCCGGUUGUGAAAGCCCCGGGCUCAACCUGGGAACGGCAUCCGGAACUGUCAAGCUAGAGUGCAGGAGAGGAAGGUAGAAUUCCCGGUGUAGCGGUGAAAUGCGUAGAGAUCGGGAGGAAUACCAGUGGCGAAGGCGGCCUUCUGGACUGACACUGACACUGAGGUGCGAAAGCGUGGGUAGCAAACAGGAUUAGAUACCCUGGUAGUCCACGCCGUAAACGAUGUCGACCAGCCGUUGGGUGCCUAGCGCACUUUGUGGCGAAGUUAACGCGAUAAGUCGACCGCCUGGGGAGUACGGCCGCAAGGUUAAAACUCAAAUGAAUUGACG
This 586-nucleotide ribosomal RNA is filed under the name uncultured bacterium. RNAcentral describes it as "bacterial SSU rRNA". It matches the Rfam family "Bacterial small subunit ribosomal RNA", at positions 337 to 915 of the family's 1533-position model. The record is from RNAcentral.